GACGAACGCUGGCGGCGUGCUUAACACAUGCAAGUCGAACGGUGAAGCUCCAGCUUGCUGGAGUGGAUCAGUGGCGAACGGGUGAGUAACACGUGAGCAACCUGCCCCAGACUCUGGAAUAAGCGCUGGAAACGGCGUCUAAUACUGGAUACGAAACUGGCCCGCAUGGGCAUGGUUUGGAAAGUUUUUCGGUUUGGGAUGGGCUCGCGGCCUAUCAGCUUGUUGGUGAGGUAAUGGCUCACCAAGGCGACGACGGGUAGCCGGCCUGAGAGGGCGACCGGCCACACUGGGACUGAGACACGGCCCAGACUCCUACGGGAGGCAGCAGUGGGGAAUAUUGCACAAUGGGCGAAAGCCUGAUGCAGCGACGCCGCGUGAGGGAUGACGGCCUUCGGGUUGUAAACCUCUUUCAGCAGGGAAGAAGCGAAAGUGACGGUACCUGCAGAAGAAGCACCGGCUAACUACGUG
RNAcentral lists this ribosomal RNA (468 nucleotides) under uncultured bacterium. Its description in RNAcentral is "partial 16S ribosomal RNA". It matches the Rfam family "Bacterial small subunit ribosomal RNA", at positions 28 to 507 of the family's 1533-position model. The record is from RNAcentral.